UCUCCGUUGGUGAACCAGCGGAGGGAUCAUUACUGAGUUUACGCUCUAUAACCCUUUGUGAACAUACCUAUAACUGUUGCUUCGGCGGGUAGGGUCUCCGCGACCCUCCCGGCCUCCCGCCUCCGGGCGGGUCGGCGCCCGCCGGAGGAUAACCAAACUCUGAUUUAACGACGUUUCUUCUGAGUGGUACAAGCAAAUAAUCAAAACUUUUAACAACGGAUCUCUUGGUUCUGGCAUCGAUGAAGAACGCAGCGAAAUGCGAUAAGUAAUGUGAAUUGCAGAAUUCAGUGAAUCAUCGAAUCUUUGAAUGCACAUUGCGCCCGCCAGCAUUCUGGCGGGCAUGCCUGUUCGAGCGUCAUUUCAACCCUCAAGCUCUGCUUGGUGUUGGGGCCCUACAGCUGAUGUAGGCCCUCAAAGGUAGUGGCGGACCCUCCCGGAGCCUCCUUUGCGUAGUAACUUUACGUCUCGCACUGGGAUCCGGAGGGACUCUUGCCGUAAAACCCCCCAAUUUUCCAAAGGUUGACCUCGGAUCAGGUAGGAAUACCCGCUGAACUUAA
This 557-nucleotide ribosomal RNA is filed under the name Colletotrichum gloeosporioides. RNAcentral describes it as "eukaryotic LSU rRNA". The stretch from base 205 to 358 matches the Rfam family "5.8S ribosomal RNA". Lineage: Eukaryota; Fungi; Ascomycota; Sordariomycetes; Glomerellales; Glomerellaceae. The record is from RNAcentral.